RNAcentral lists this ribosomal RNA (429 nucleotides) under Triticum aestivum (bread wheat). RNAcentral's name for it is "partial small subunit ribosomal RNA". The record is from RNAcentral. Lineage: Eukaryota; Viridiplantae; Streptophyta; Magnoliopsida; Poales; Poaceae.
AUGGCGGCUGGGGCGGCUAGGGUCGCGGAGCCGAGGAAGCCGGAGGCGACAUCGUCGGGCUGGCAUGGGGCGACCACGCCGCCACGUUCCUCAUGCUGGAGACGAUGGCAACCACACCGCCGUGUUCCUCAUGCUGCUGGUCGCCAAUGCAACGGACAAGAACCAUGUAGAAAGGAUGUCGAACGGUCAAUUGGGGUUCUCCAAGCUCGUUUCGCCAUUAAUUAUGGUCAUGCACACUUCUGGGAUCAAAAGGACUUGUGGCGCAUCAUGACUGUGUGCGUUAUAUUGAAUAACAUGAUCAUAGAGGACGAGAGGGAACAACUGCCUAACUAUCGCUAUGAGAAUGAGGGGAACAAAGUUUAUAUACCAGCAGUUCAGCCACAAAGGGAUGAACGACGAUUGCAUGAUUUCUUGAGAUACGUCAACUGA